AAAGUUUCCAUACUUUUUUAUUCAUGAUAUCCUUACUAAAGUUUUAACAUCAUACACUAACAGAUAUAUUUUUAAUUGCAAAAUAAAAUGUGUGAUAAUUAUUGGGUCAGUGAGCAGGGUUAAUUAAUAAUAAUAGUGGGCAAAUUGUGUAUCAAAGCCAACUAAUUAAUAAAAGAUUUUUAAGACGGAGCUUUAUAUGGAUAUAUAAUAGUAGUACUAUUAAAAAUAUUUUUACAUCAAAAAGGUAUAAUUAGAUAACAGAACCAUUUUAGCUUGGAUUAGGGUUAAUUAGGGUCAUAAGAGUUGGGAAAAAGGUUAUGAGACUCAGCUGUAAAUAGUAAUAAUU
Molecule: long non-coding RNA, 346 nt
Filed under: Ananas comosus (pineapple)
Lineage: Eukaryota; Viridiplantae; Streptophyta; Magnoliopsida; Poales; Bromeliaceae
Description: long non-coding RNA (ACOM_LNC041161)
Source: RNAcentral